GCUGGGCGUGGUGGUGCGCGCCUGUAAUCCCAGCUACUCGGGAGGCUGAGACAGGAGAAUUGCUUGAAACUGGGAGAUUGAGGUUGCAGUGAGCUGAGAUCGGGCCACUGCACUCCAGCCUGAGUGACAGAGCGAAACUCUGUCUCAA
Molecule: non-coding RNA, 148 nt
Filed under: Pan troglodytes (chimpanzee)
Lineage: Eukaryota; Metazoa; Chordata; Mammalia; Primates; Hominidae
Source: Rfam by way of RNAcentral